This 2569-nucleotide ribosomal RNA is filed under the name Escherichia coli. Its description in RNAcentral is "partial 23S ribosomal RNA". It matches the Rfam family "Bacterial large subunit ribosomal RNA", at positions 219 to 2812 of the family's 2925-position model. Lineage: Bacteria; Pseudomonadati; Pseudomonadota; Gammaproteobacteria; Enterobacterales; Enterobacteriaceae. The record is from RNAcentral.
AAGAAAUCAACCGAGAUUCCCCCAGUAGCGGCGAGCGAACGGGGAGCAGCCCAGAGCCUGAAUCAGUGUGUGUGUUAGUGGAAGCGUCUGGAAAGGCGCGCGAUACAGGGUGACAGCCCCGUACACAAAAAUGCACAUACUGUGAGCUCGAUGAGUAGGGCGGGACACGUGGUAUCCUGUCUGAAUAUGGGGGGACCAUCCUCCAAGGCUAAAUACUCCUGACUGACCGAUAGUGAACCAGUACCGUGAGGGAAAGGCGAAAAGAACCCCGGCGAGGGGAGUGAAAAAGAACCUGAAACCGUGUACGUACAAGCAGUGGGAGCACGCUUAGGCGUGUGACUGCGUACCUUUUGUAUAAUGGGUCAGCGACUUAUAUUCUGUAGCAAGGUUAACCGAAUAGGGGAGCCGAAGGGAAACCGAGUCUUAACUGGGCGUUAAGUUGCAGGGUAUAGACCCGAAACCCGGUGAUCUAGCCAUGGGCAGGUUGAAGGUUGGGUAACACUAACUGGAGGACCGAACCGACUAAUGUUGAAAAAUUAGCGGAUGACUUGUGGCUGGGGGUGAAAGGCCAAUCAAACCGGGAGAUAGCUGGUUCUCCCCGAAAGCUAUUUAGGUAGCGCCUCGUGAAUUCAUCUCCGGGGGUAGAGCACUGUUUCGGCAAGGGGGUCAUCCCGACUUACCAACCCGAUGCAAACUGCGAAUACCGGAGAAUGUUAUCACGGGAGACACACGGCGGGUGCUAACGUCCGUCGUGAAGAGGGAAACAACCCAGACCGCCAGCUAAGGUCCCAAAGUCAUGGUUAAGUGGGAAACGAUGUGGGAAGGCCCAGACAGCCAGGAUGUUGGCUUAGAAGCAGCCAUCAUUUAAAGAAAGCGUAAUAGCUCACUGGUCGAGUCGGCCUGCGCGGAAGAUGUAACGGGGCUAAACCAUGCACCGAAGCUGCGGCAGCGACGCUUAUGCGUUGUUGGGUAGGGGAGCGUUCUGUAAGCCUGCGAAGGUGUGCUGUGAGGCAUGCUGGAGGUAUCAGAAGUGCGAAUGCUGACAUAAGUAACGAUAAAGCGGGUGAAAAGCCCGCUCGCCGGAAGACCAAGGGUUCCUGUCCAACGUUAAUCGGGGCAGGGUGAGUCGACCCCUAAGGCGAGGCCGAAAGGCGUAGUCGAUGGGAAACAGGUUAAUAUUCCUGUACUUGGUGUUACUGCGAAGGGGGGACGGAGAAGGCUAUGUUGGCCGGGCGACGGUUGUCCCGGUUUAAGCGUGUAGGCUGGUUUUCCAGGCAAAUCCGGAAAAUCAAGGCUGAGGCGUGAUGACGAGGCACUACGGUGCUGAAGCAACAAAUGCCCUGCUUCCAGGAAAAGCCUCUAAGCAUCAGGUAACAUCAAAUCGUACCCCAAACCGACACAGGUGGUCAGGUAGAGAAUACCAAGGCGCUUGAGAGAACUCGGGUGAAGGAACUAGGCAAAAUGGUGCCGUAACUUCGGGAGAAGGCACGCUGAUAUGUAGGUGAAGUCCCUCGCGGAUGGAGCUGAAAUCAGUCGAAGAUACCAGCUGGCUGCAACUGUUUAUUAAAAACACAGCACUGUGCAAACACGAAAGUGGACGUAUACGGUGUGACGCCUGCCCGGUGCCGGAAGGUUAAUUGAUGGGGUUAGCGCAAGCGAAGCUCUUGAUCGAAGCCCCGGUAAACGGCGGCCGUAACUAUAACGGUCCUAAGGUAGCGAAAUUCCUUGUCGGGUAAGUUCCGACCUGCACGAAUGGCGUAAUGAUGGCCAGGCUGUCUCCACCCGAGACUCAGUGAAAUUGAACUCGCUGUGAAGAUGCAGUGUACCCGCGGCAAGACGGAAAGACCCCGUGAACCUUUACUAUAGCUUGACACUGAACAUUGAGCCUUGAUGUGUAGGAUAGGUGGGAGGCUUUGAAGUGUGGACGCCAGUCUGCAUGGAGCCGACCUUGAAAUACCACCCUUUAAUGUUUGAUGUUCUAACGUGGACCCGUAAUCCGGGUUGCGGACAGUGUCUGGUGGGUAGUUUGACUGGGGCGGUCUCCUCCUAAAGAGUAACGGAGGAGCACGAAGGUUGGCUAAUCCUGGUCGGACAUCAGGAGGUUAGUGCAAUGGCAUAAGCCAGCUUGACUGCGAGCGUGACGGCGCGAGCAGGUGCGAAAGCAGGUCAUAGUGAUCCGGUGGUUCUGAAUGGAAGGGCCAUCGCUCAACGGAUAAAAGGUACUCCGGGGAUAACAGGCUGAUACCGCCCAAGAGUUCAUAUCGACGGCGGUGUUUGGCACCUCGAUGUCGGCUCAUCACAUCCUGGGGCUGAAGUAGGUCCCAAGGGUAUGGCUGUUCGCCAUUUAAAGUGGUACGCGAGCUGGGUUUAGAACGUCGUGAGACAGUUCGGUCCCUAUCUGCCGUGGGCGCUGGAGAACUGAGGGGGGCUGCUCCUAGUACGAGAGGACCGGAGUGGACGCAUCACUGGUGUUCGGGUUGUCAUGCCAAUGGCACUGCCCGGUAGCUAAAUGCGGAAGAGAUAAGUGCUGAAAGCAUCUAAGCACGAAACUUGCCCCGAGAUGAGUUCU